CCUUAGCUUCUUCUCCUCAUCUCUCUGCAUCGUUCUUCUUCUCUACAUCUCUCUACAUAUUUCUUCUUAUUUUCCACCAUGAAUGAACAACAUUAUGAAGAUGAAGGAAGUGGGGUGCAAGGAUCUGAAAGUCAAGAUGAAGAUGAAGUAAAUAAACCUAUAGUUGCAGAAGAUCAAGUGGCUUAUUUAACUUGUGGCAUUUUGCAGAAGUUGUUAUUU
Molecule: long non-coding RNA, 219 nt
Filed under: Aquilegia coerulea
Lineage: Eukaryota; Viridiplantae; Streptophyta; Magnoliopsida; Ranunculales; Ranunculaceae
Description: long non-coding RNA (ACOE_LNC000687)
Source: RNAcentral